Molecule: ribosomal RNA, 324 nt
Filed under: uncultured eukaryote
Lineage: Eukaryota
Description: partial 18S ribosomal RNA
Rfam family: Eukaryotic small subunit ribosomal RNA
Source: RNAcentral
CCCUUAGACGUUCUGGGCCGCACGCGCGCUACACUGGUCGAUGCAACGAGUUUCUUUCCUUGGCCGACAGGCCUGGGCAAUCUUUGAACAUCGAUCGUGAUCGGGAUAGAUUCUUGUAAUUUUUGAUCUUAAACGAGGAAUUCCUAGUAAACGCAAGUCAUCAGCUUGCAUUGAUUACGUCCCUGCCCUUUGUACACACCGCCCGUCGCACCUACCGAUUGAAUGGUCCGGUGAAAUCUCCGGACUGGCGUGAGUCGGAGCAAUCUGACAAACACCGGAAAGUUGAUUAAACCUUACCAUUUAGAGGAAGGUGAANUCGUAACA